CACGUAGGGGGCGAGCGUUGUCCGGAUUUAUUGGGCGUAAAGAGCUCGUAGGUGGUUCGGUAAGUUGGGUGUGAAAACUCCAGGCUCAACCUGGAGACGCCACCCGAUACUGCUGUGACUCGAGUCCGGUAGGGGAGCGUGGAAUUCCUGGUGUAGCGGUGAAAUGCGCAGAUAUCAGGAGGAACACCAGCGGCGAAGGCGGCGCUCUGGGCCGGAACUGACGCUGAGGAGCGAAAGCGUGGGUAGCGAACAGG
This 254-nucleotide ribosomal RNA is filed under the name uncultured bacterium. RNAcentral's name for it is "partial 16S ribosomal RNA". It matches the Rfam family "Bacterial small subunit ribosomal RNA", at positions 524 to 776 of the family's 1533-position model. The record is from RNAcentral.